RNAcentral lists this ribosomal RNA (189 nucleotides) under uncultured bacterium. RNAcentral's name for it is "partial 16S ribosomal RNA". It matches the Rfam family "Bacterial small subunit ribosomal RNA", at positions 1312 to 1500 of the family's 1533-position model. The record is from RNAcentral.
UCGCCUGCAUGAAGCUGGAAUUGCUAGUAAUCGCGGAUCAGCAAGCCGCGGUGAAUACGUUCCCGGGCCUUGUACACACCGCCCGUCACACCAUGAGAGUCGGGAACACCCGAAGUCCGUAGUCUAACCGCAAGGGGGGCGCGGCCGAAGGUGGGUCCGGUAAUUGGGGUGAAGUCGUAACAAGGUACC